This 74-nucleotide transfer RNA is filed under the name Eubacterium sp. RNAcentral describes it as "tRNA-Gly". It matches the Rfam family "tRNA". Rfam says of the family: Transfer RNA (tRNA) molecules are approximately 80 nucleotides in length. Their secondary structure includes four short double-helical elements and three loops (D, anti-codon, and T loops). Further hydrogen bonds mediate the characteristic L-shaped molecular structure. tRNAs have two regions of fundamental functional importance: the anti-codon, which is responsible for specific mRNA codon recognition, and the 3' end, to which the tRNAs corresponding amino acid is attached (by aminoacyl-tRNA synthetases). tRNAs cope with the degeneracy of the genetic code in two manners: having more than one tRNA (with a specific anti-codon) for a particular amino acid; and 'wobble' base-pairing, i.e. permitting non-standard base-pairing at the 3rd anti-codon position. The record is from RNAcentral. Lineage: Bacteria; Bacillati; Bacillota; Clostridia; Eubacteriales; Eubacteriaceae.
GCGGGCGUAGUUCAAUGCUAGAACGCCGUCUUUCCAAGUCGGAAAAAGAGGUUUAAUUCCUUUCACCCGCUCCA